GAUGAACGCUGGCGGCGUGCCUAAUACAUGCAAGUCGAGCGAACGGACGAGAAGCUUGCUUCUCUGAUGUUAGCGGCGGACGGGUGAGUAACACGUGGAUAACCUACCUAUAAGACUGGGAUAACUUCGGGAAACCGGAGCUAAUACCGGAUAAUAUUUUGAACCGCAUGGUUCAAAAGUGAAAGACGGUCUUGCUGUCACUUAUAGAUGGAUCCGCGCUGCAUUAGCUAGUUGGUAAGGUAACGGCUUACCAAGGCAACGAUGCAUAGACGACCUGAGAGGGGGAUAGGCCACACGGGAACGGAGACACGGUCCAGACGCCUACGGGAGGCAGCAGUAGGGAAUCUGCCGCAGUGGGCGAAAGCCUGACGGAGCAACGCCGCGUGAGUGAUGAAGGUGUUCGGAGCGUAAAACUCUGUUAUUAGGGAAGAACAUAUGUGUAAGUAACUGUGCACAUCUUGACGGUACCUAAUCAGAAAGCCACGGCUAACUACGUG
RNAcentral lists this ribosomal RNA (497 nucleotides) under uncultured bacterium. RNAcentral's name for it is "partial 16S ribosomal RNA". It matches the Rfam family "Bacterial small subunit ribosomal RNA", at positions 28 to 507 of the family's 1533-position model. The record is from RNAcentral.